GACGAACGCUGGCGGCGUGGAUUAGGCAUGCAAGUCGAACGGUAUCAUCCUUUCGGGGGUGAGAGAGUGGCGAACUGGUGAGUAACACGUAGGUUAUCUACCCUCAAGACGGGGACAACCCAGGGAAACUUGGGCUAAUACCGGAUGUGAGCAACUUUUAGUUGUUUGAAAGGUGGCGUAAGCUGUCGCUUGGGGAUGAGCCUGCGUCCUAUUAGUUAGUUGGUGAGGUAACGGCUCACCUAGGCAAUGAUAGGUAGGCGGCCUUAACGGGUGGUCGCCCACACUGGGAUUGAGAUACGGCCCAGACUCCUACGGGAGCAGCAGUCGAGAAUAGUCUACAAUGGUCGGAAGACUGAUAGUGCGACGCCGCGUGAACGAUGAAUCCCUUCGGGGUUAAAGUUCUUUUAUAUGUGAGCAGUGCUUCUUAUAUUAACAGUAUGGGGAAGAGAUAUUAGCAUAUGAAUAAGCAACGGCUAACUCGUGCCAGCAGCCGGGUAAUCUCG
RNAcentral lists this ribosomal RNA (503 nucleotides) under uncultured bacterium. RNAcentral's name for it is "bacterial SSU rRNA". It matches the Rfam family "Bacterial small subunit ribosomal RNA", at positions 28 to 528 of the family's 1533-position model. The record is from RNAcentral.